Molecule: ribosomal RNA, 501 nt
Filed under: uncultured bacterium
Lineage: Bacteria
Description: bacterial SSU rRNA
Rfam family: Bacterial small subunit ribosomal RNA
Source: RNAcentral
GAUGAACGCUAGCGGGAGGCCUAAUACAUGCAAGUCGAGCGGUAGAGUGACUUCGGUUGCUUGAGAGCGGCGAACGGGUGAGUAACGCGUACACAAUCUACCUUUAAGAGGGGAAUAGCCCUGGGAAACUGGGAUUAAUGCCCCAUGGCAUCACGAGACGGCAUCGUUUUGUGAUUAAAGCUGAGGUGCUUAGAGAUGAGUGUGCGUCUGAUUAGCUAGUUGGUGCGGUAACGGCGCACCAAGGCGACGAUCAGUAGGGGGCGUGAGAGCGUGGACCCCCACACGGGUACUGAGACACGGACCCGACUCCUACGGGAGGCAGCAGUAAGGAAUAUUGGUCAAUGGAGGAAACUCUGAACCAGCCAUCCCGCGUGCAGGAAGAAUGCCCUAUGGGUUGUAAACUGCUUUUAUCUGGGAAGAAAAGUCGGGAUUUAUCCUGAUCUGACGGUACCAGAGGAAUAAGCACCGGCUAACUCCGUGCCAGCAGCCGCGGUAAAGUCG